This 451-nucleotide ribosomal RNA is filed under the name uncultured bacterium. Its description in RNAcentral is "partial 16S ribosomal RNA". It matches the Rfam family "Bacterial small subunit ribosomal RNA", at positions 354 to 796 of the family's 1533-position model. The record is from RNAcentral.
GUGGGGAAUAUUGGACAAUGGGGGGAACCCUGAUCCAGCCAUGCCGCGUGUGUGAAGAAGGCCUUUUGGUUGUAAAGCACUUUAAGCGAGGAGGAGGCUACCGAGAUUAAUACUCUUGGAUAGUGGACGUUACUCGCAGAAUAAGCACCGGCUAACUCUGUGCCUGCAGCCGCGGUAAUACAGAGGGUGCAAGCGUUAAUCGGAUUUACUGGGCGUAAAGCGCGCGUAGGUGGCCAAUUAAGUCAAAUGUGAAAUCCCCGAGCUUAACUUGGGAAUUGCAUUCGAUACUGGUUGGCUAGAGUAUGGGAGAGGAUGGUAGAAUUCCAGGUGUAGCGGUGAAAUGCGUAGAGAUCUGGAGGAAUACCGAUGGCGAAGGCAGCCAUCUGGCCUAAUACUGACACUGAGGUGCGAAAGCAUGGGGAGCAAACAGGAUUAGAUACCCCAGUAGUCC